RNAcentral lists this ribosomal RNA (495 nucleotides) under uncultured bacterium. RNAcentral's name for it is "partial 16S ribosomal RNA". It matches the Rfam family "Bacterial small subunit ribosomal RNA", at positions 28 to 507 of the family's 1533-position model. The record is from RNAcentral.
GACGAACGCUGGCGGCGUGCCUAAUACAUGCAAGUAGAACGCUGAAGGAGGAGCUUGCUUCUCUGGAUGAGUUGCGAACGGGUGAGUAACGCGUAGGUAACCUGCCUGGUAGCGGGGGAUAACUAUUGGAAACGAUAGCUAAUACCGCAUAACAGUAGAUAUCGCAUGAUAUCUACUUGAAAGGUGCAAUUUCAUCACUACCAGAUGGACCUGCGUUGUAUUAGCUAGUUGGUGAGGUAACGGCUCACCAAGGCGACGAUACAUAGCCGACCUGAGAGGGUGAUCGGCCACACUGGGACUGAGACAAGGCCCAGACUCCUACGGGAGGCAGCAGUAGGGAAUCUUCGGCAAUGGACGGAAGUCUGACCGAGCAACGCCGCGUGAGGGAAGAAGGUUUUCGGAUCGUAAAGCUCUGUUGUAAGAGAAGAAAGAGUGUGAGAGUGGAAAGUUCACACUGUGACGGUAUCUUAACAGAAAGGGACGGCUAACUACGUG